GUAAGUUUGUUCAAUCAGUUUAUAAUUAGUGGCUGAUGUGGCCCCCUUCCACAAACAUAUGAAACUAUAUAUAUGUCAGCUUUAUUGUGAUUGUUAUUUGACAUUCUUAUAAAGUUGCUGUUAUGGUUGUGAAGUUACAUUGUUUAAUAUGGAUAUAUAGUUUAAUAUUUGUUCAUUUCUAUAUUGGUAUCAUUAUUCAUAGCUUGGCUGUUG
This 213-nucleotide unclassified non-coding RNA is filed under the name Hevea brasiliensis (rubber tree). The record is from RNAcentral. Lineage: Eukaryota; Viridiplantae; Streptophyta; Magnoliopsida; Malpighiales; Euphorbiaceae.